UCGGAGAGCACCAUUUCAACGCCUAAUACACACAGCAACUGGACACACCACCAGAUAUUGGGGGUUGGUUUAUGGCAAUCUCAGUGCUGCACUGCUUUGCCUAACCUUCUGUUAACCAGAUGGCCUGUUCUCUCCCCUUGGGAUCAAACCAGGUUGCUAAGAUGAAAAUGACCUAAAUAUAACUGGAAAUGCUGCUUCACACCAACAGAGAACAAGAUCUUUUGGAGUAAAUAUUGAAAUGAUCUGCCAGAUGAACCACCACAGCAGCAUGAACCAAAUGGAUAGGAACUUGUAUUAUGUACACACAUACAAAUGUUCUGCCAUUGUAAAA
This is a non-coding RNA of Cyanistes caeruleus (blue tit), 331 nucleotides long. Lineage: Eukaryota; Metazoa; Chordata; Aves; Passeriformes; Paridae. The record is from RefSeq and is a predicted model, not a curated record.